RNAcentral lists this long non-coding RNA (476 nucleotides) under Bos taurus (domestic cattle). RNAcentral describes it as "long non-coding RNA NONBTAT018994". Lineage: Eukaryota; Metazoa; Chordata; Mammalia; Artiodactyla; Bovidae. The record is from RNAcentral.
UGGGAAUCCUAGCGGACUCUGCUCCUUCCACCUCCUCGUGGUUUAUUGUUCUCUUCCUCUUAUGUGAUGAGAUAAUUAAGGGUUCUCUGCAAUGGACAAUUUCCAAGGUGCUGAUGUGAGGUUACAGCCUCAGCUGCAUCCUGCGUAGGUCAGUAUCCCCACCAGCAGACGAUGCUGGGUCGGUCCUCAUCUCUGCUUCUAGAACGGGAUCUGUGGGAAAAUCUUAAAAGAAGAGGCUCUCUGAUGGGAGGAGAGAGGGAACUUAUUUCCCUUCAAAGUAUUUUGCUUCUUGCAAAUGCAUCCUGCGGAGAGAGAGCGGAUAGGGACUGACAAGCACACUGUUUAGAUAAGAAGCAGUUAGCCUUUUACAUUUUCUAUAUGCAGCAUCUUCCCAAACUCGUUGUGGCUCCCAGGUGGCAGGUGGAUGGCUGGGAAGGACUACCGGCUGUUUCUUACAACAUUCUUGCCAAUUCCCU